CCAGAGUCCACCCAAAAUGUACCCAAGGUGAAAGUCCUCUACUCCUGCAACACCAAGCCAGGCGCUGUCGAGCUGGUGUGCUUCAUCUCUGGCUUCUACCCCGAGACUUUGACGGUGGAAUGGCUGGUGGACGGCCAGCCCGGGGAACUAAAGGGUGACACUGAGCCUCCCAAGAAGGACGCCGACGGCCGCACCUUCAGCACCCGCAGCAAUGCCAGUGUCUCCCAGAGCAAGUGGCUGGAGGGCAAGAAGUACACCUGCCAGGUGUCCCACCCAGACACCGGCACCAAAAAGCAGGGCCACGCCAGCAAGUGCGAAGGUGAAGCUCACCGGCGCUAG
Molecule: non-coding RNA, 339 nt
Organism: Terrapene triunguis (Three-toed box turtle)
Lineage: Eukaryota; Metazoa; Chordata; Testudines; Emydidae
Source: the annotation of a RefSeq genome assembly